Molecule: ribosomal RNA, 1484 nt
Filed under: uncultured Bordetella sp.
Lineage: Bacteria; Pseudomonadati; Pseudomonadota; Betaproteobacteria; Burkholderiales; Alcaligenaceae
Description: partial 16S-23S ribosomal RNA intergenic spacer
Rfam family: Bacterial small subunit ribosomal RNA
Source: RNAcentral
UUCGAUUAUGGCUCAGAUUGAACGCUGGCGGGAUGCUUUACACAUGCAAGUCGAACGGCAGCACGGACUUCCGGUCUGGUGGCGAGUGGCGAACGGGUGAGUAAUGUAUCGGAACGUGCCUAGUAGCGGGGGAUAACUACGCGAAAGCGUAGCUAAUACCACAUACUUACGCCCUUCGGGGGAAAGCGGGGGACCUUCGGGCCUCGCACUAUUAGAGCGGCCGAUAUCGGAUUGGCCUAGUUGGUGGGGUAACGGCUCACCAAGGCGACGAUCCGUAGCUGGUUUGAGGACGACCAGCCACUGGGACUGAGACACGGCCAGACUCCUACAGGAGGCAGCAGUGGGAAUUUUGGACAAUGGGGGAAACCCUGAUCCAGCCAUCCCGCGUGCGAUGAAGGCCUUCGGGUUGUAAAGCACUUUUGGCAGGAAAGAAACGGCACCGGGAUAAUACCCCGUGCAACUGACGGUACCUACCCAGAAUAAGCACCGGCUAACUACGUGCCAGCAGCCGCGGUAAUACGUAGGGUGCAAGCGUUAAUCGGAAUUACUGGGCGUAAAGCGUGCGCAGGCGGUUCGGAAAGAAAGAUGUGAAAUCCAGAGCUUAACUUUGGAACUGCAUUUUUAACUACCGAGCUAAGAGUGUGUCAGAGGGAGGUGGAAUUCCGCGUGUAGCAGUGAAAUGCGUAGAUAUGCGGAGGAACACCGAUGGCGAAGGCAGCCUCCUGGGAUAACACUGACGCUCAUGCACGAAAAACGUGGGGAGCAAACAGAGUUAGAUACCCUGGUAGUCCACGCCCUAAACGAUGUCAACUAGCUGUUGGGGCCUUCGGGCCUUGGUAGCGCAACUAAUGCGUGAAGUUGACCGCCUGGGGAGUACGGUCGCAGAUUAAAACUCAAAGGAAUUGACGGGGACCCGCACAAGCGGUGGAUGAUGUGGAUUAAUUCGAUGCAACGCGAAAAACCUUACCUACCCUUGACAUGUCUGGAAUCCCGAAGAGAUUUGAGGAGUGCUCGCAAGAGAACCGGAACACAGGUGCUGCAUGGCUGUCGUCAGCUCGUGUCGUGGGGAUCGGGUUAAGUCCCGCAACGAGCGCAACCCUUGUCAUUAGUUGCUACGAAAGGGCACUCUAAUGAGACUGCCCAUUAAACCGGAGGAAGGUGGGGAUGACGUCAAGUCCUCAUGGCCCUUAUGGGUAGGGCUUCACACGUCAUACAAUGGUCGGGACAGAGGGUCGCCAACCCGCGAGGAGCCAAUCCCAGAAACCCGAUCGUAGUCCGGAUCGCAGUCUGCAACUCGACUGCGUGAAGUCGGAAUCGCUAGUAAUCGCGGAUCAGCAUGUCGCGGUGAAUACGUUCCCGGGUCUUGUACACACCGCCCGUCACACCAUGGGAGUGGGUUUUACCAGAGAAGUAGUUAGCCUAACCGUAAGGAGGGCGAUUACCACGGUAGGAUUCAUGACUGGGGUGAAGUCGUAACAAGGUAG